GAUGAACGCUGGCUACAGGCUUAACACAUGCAAGUCGAGGGGAAACGAUAUUGGAAGCUUGCUUCCGAUAGGCGUCGACCGGCGCACGGGUGAGUAACGCGUAUCCAACCUGCCCACCACUUGGGGAUAACCUUGCGAAAGUAAGACUAAUACCCAAUGAUAUCUCUAGAAGACAUCUGAAGGAGAUUAAAGAUUCAUCGGUGAUGGAUGGGGAUGCGUCUGAUUAGCUUGUUGGCGGGGUAACGGCCCACCAAGGCGACGAUCAGUAGGGGUUCUGAGAGGAAGGUCCCCCACAUUGGAACUGAGACACGGUCCAAACUCCUACGGGAGGCAGCAGUGAGGAAUAUUGGUCAAUGGGCGAGAGCCUGAACCAGCCAAGUAGCGUGCAGGAUGACGGCCCUAUGGGUUGUAAACUGCUUUUAUAAGGGAAUAAAGUGAGUCUCGUGAGACUUUUUGCAUGUACCUUAUGAAUAAGGACCGGCUAAUUCCGUGCCAGCAGCCGCGGUAA
This 508-nucleotide ribosomal RNA is filed under the name uncultured bacterium. Its description in RNAcentral is "partial 16S ribosomal RNA". It matches the Rfam family "Bacterial small subunit ribosomal RNA", at positions 28 to 523 of the family's 1533-position model. The record is from RNAcentral.